CCUGUGUGUUUAGGGAUCUCUCCUUGCAGAGCUGAUUGACCAUGUGAGGCCCAGGUUUGAACCUGCACAAGCAAGAGAAGAGUCAAGAUUGCUCCCUGCCUUAUGGUCACCGCCAGGAGUGGUCCAGGAACAAUAUCAUGUACCUAUGGAAAAACCUGUUUUUGGUGGAUCAAGGAUUUGGCACAUACCCUGCACUGGUCACAGGCUACUUAUUCUUAGUUACACUUCGGGAAGAUGGAACACACAUACAUACCAUGUAUAUAUUGAACUGCUUACUCACCUGAUUAUCCUUUGGCCCGGAAUAAAUUUUUUAGGAAAUGUA
This is a long non-coding RNA of Suncus etruscus (white-toothed pygmy shrew), 322 nucleotides long. RefSeq lists it as uncharacterized. The transcript is spliced from 2 exons. The record is from RefSeq and is a predicted model, not a curated record. Lineage: Eukaryota; Metazoa; Chordata; Mammalia; Eulipotyphla; Soricidae.